UAGUAUCGACAGUUUGGCUGAGUGGUCCAAGGCGCUAGCUUCGGGCGCUAGUCCGUAGGGGCGCGAGUUCGAACCUCGCGUUGCUAU
Molecule: transfer RNA, 87 nt
Filed under: Perkinsus olseni
Lineage: Eukaryota; Perkinsozoa; Perkinsida; Perkinsidae
Description: tRNA-Pro
Rfam family: tRNA
About the family: Transfer RNA (tRNA) molecules are approximately 80 nucleotides in length. Their secondary structure includes four short double-helical elements and three loops (D, anti-codon, and T loops). Further hydrogen bonds mediate the characteristic L-shaped molecular structure. tRNAs have two regions of fundamental functional importance: the anti-codon, which is responsible for specific mRNA codon recognition, and the 3' end, to which the tRNAs corresponding amino acid is attached (by aminoacyl-tRNA synthetases). tRNAs cope with the degeneracy of the genetic code in two manners: having more than one tRNA (with a specific anti-codon) for a particular amino acid; and 'wobble' base-pairing, i.e. permitting non-standard base-pairing at the 3rd anti-codon position.
Source: RNAcentral